This 98-nucleotide microRNA precursor is filed under the name Marmota monax (woodchuck). Lineage: Eukaryota; Metazoa; Chordata; Mammalia; Rodentia; Sciuridae. The record is from RNAcentral.
GGUGGAAUAGCUGGGUCACAUGUUCACUCUAAACUUUCUGAAAAACCACCAGACUCUUUUCCAAAGUGGCUGCACCAUUUCACAUUCCCACUGGCAAC